UAAUUUGAGAGUUUGAUCCUGGCUCAGGACGAACGCUGGCGGCGUGCCUAAUACAUGCAAGUCGAACGAACUCUGGUAUUGAUUGGUGCUUGCAUCAUGAUUUGCAUUUGAGUGAGUGGCGAACUGGUGAGUAACACGUGGGAAACCUGCCCAGAAGCGGGGGAUAACACCUGGAAACAGAUGCUAAUACCGCAUAACAACUUGGACCGCAUGGUCCGAGUUUGAAAGAUGGCUUCGGCUAUCACUUUUGGAUGGUCCCGCGGCGUAUUAGCUAGAUGGUGGGGUAACGGCUCACCAUGGCAAUGAUACGUAGCCGACCUGAGAGGGUAAUCGGCCACAUUGGGACUGAGACACGGCCCAAACUCCUACGGGAGGCAGCAGUAGGGAAUCUUCCACAAUGGACGAAAGUCUGAUGGAGCAACGCCGCGUGAGUGAAGAAGGGUUUCGGCUCGUAAAACUCUGUUGUUAAAGAAGAACAUAUCUGAGAGUAACUGUUCAGGUAUUGACGGUAUUUAACCAGAAAGCCACGGCUAACUACGUGCCAGCAGCCGCGGUAAUACGUAGGUGGCAAGCGUUGUCCGGAUUUAUUGGGCGUAAAGCGAGCGCAGGCGGUUUUUUAAGUCUGAUGUGAAAGCCUUCGGCUCAACCGAAGAAGUGCAUCGGAAACUGGGAAACUUGAGUGCAGAAGAGGACAGUGGAACUCCAUGUGUAGCGGUGAAAUGCGUAGAUAUAUGGAAGAACACCAGUGGCGAAGGCGGCUGUCUGGUCUGUAACUGACGCUGAGGCUCGAAAGUAUGGGUAGCAAACAGGAUUAGAUACCCUGGUAGUCCAUACCGUAAACGAUGAAUGCUAAGUGUUGGAGGGUUUCCGCCCUUCAGUGCUGCAGCUAACGCAUUAAGCAUUCCGCCUGGGGAGUACGGCCGCAAGGCUGAAACUCAAAGGAAUUGACGGGGGCCCGCACAAGCGGUGGAGCAUGUGGUUUAAUUCGAAGCUACGCGAAGAACCUUACCAGGUCUUGACAUACUAUGCAAAUCUAAGAGAUUAGACGUUCCCUUCGGGGACAUGGAUACAGGUGGUGCAUGGUUGUCGUCAGCUCGUGUCGUGAGAUGUUGGGUUAAGUCCCGCAACGAGCGCAACCCUUAUUAUCAGUUGCCAGCAUUAAGUUGGGCACUCUGGUGAGACUGCCGGUGACAAACCGGAGGAAGGUGGGGAUGACGUCAAAUCAUCAUGCCCCUUAUGACCUGGGCUACACACGUGCUACAAUGGAUGGUACAACGAGUUGCGAACUCGCGAGAGUAAGCUAAUCUCUUAAAGCCAUUCUCAGUUCGGAUUGUAGGCUGCAACUCGCCUACAUGAAGUCGGAAUCGCUAGUAAUCGCGGAUCAGCAUGCCGCGGUGAAUACGUUCCCGGGCCUUGUACACACCGCCCGUCACACCAUGAGAGUUUGUAACACCCAAAGUCGGUGGGGUAACCUUUUAGGAACCAGCCGCCUAAGGUGGGACAGAUGAUUAGGGUGAAGUCGUAACAAGGUAGCCGUAGGAGAACCUGCGGCUGGAUCACCUCCUUU
This 1567-nucleotide ribosomal RNA is filed under the name Lactiplantibacillus pentosus. RNAcentral describes it as "16S ribosomal RNA". It matches the Rfam family "Bacterial small subunit ribosomal RNA". The record is from RNAcentral. Lineage: Bacteria; Bacillati; Bacillota; Bacilli; Lactobacillales; Lactobacillaceae. RNAcentral also lists the same sequence under 1 other name.